This 906-nucleotide ribosomal RNA is filed under the name uncultured archaeon. RNAcentral describes it as "bacterial SSU rRNA". It matches the Rfam family "Archaeal small subunit ribosomal RNA", at positions 21 to 903 of the family's 1478-position model. The record is from RNAcentral.
CCCUACUGCUAUCGGGGUGGGACUAAGACAUGCGAGUUGUGCGUCUCUAAGCUAUGGUAGAGACGCAGCGUACGGCUCAGUAACACGUGGCUAACCUACCCUUAGGACGGGGACAACCCCGGGAAACUGGGGUUAAUCCCCGAUAGGAGAAGACACCUGGAAGGGGUCUUUUCCCAAAAGGCGUUUAGGUCAUGCUUCUAGACGUCGCUCAAGGACGGGGCCGCGGCCGAUCAGGUUGUUGGUGAGGUAAUGGCUCACCAAGCCUAUAACCGGUACGGGCCGUGAGAGCGGGAGCCCGGAGAUGGGCACUGAGACAAGGGCCCAGGCCCUACGGGGCGCAGCAGUUGCGAAAACUCCGCAAUGCACGAAAGUGUGACGGGGCUACCCCGAGUGCCGUCCGCUGAGGGCGGCUUUUCCCCGGUGUAAGGAGCCGGGGGAAUAAGGAGAGGGCAAGUCUGGUGUCAGCCGCCGCGGUAAUACCAGCUCUCCGAGUGGUAGGGAUGAUUAUUGGGCUUAAAGCGUCCGUAGCUGGCCUAGCAAGUCUUCCGUUAAAUCCACCGAUUCAAUCGUUGGACUGCGGGAGAUACUGUUGGGCUAGGGGGCGGGAGAGGCCGACGGUAUUCUCGGGGUAGGGGUAAAAUCCUAUAAUCCCGGGAGGACCACCAGUGGCGAAGGCGGUCGGCUAGAACGCGCUCGACGGUGAGGGACGAAAGCUGGGGGAGCGAACCGGAUUAGAUACCCGGGUAGUCCCAGCUGUAAACGAUGCGGGCUAGGUGUUGGGGCGGCUACGGGCCGCUUCAGUGCCGCAGGGAAACCAUUAAGUCCGCCGCCUGGGGAGUACGGUCGCAAGGCUGAAACUUAAAGGAAUUGGCGGGGGAGCACCACAAGGCGUGAAGCUUGCGGUUU